Mesocricetus auratus (golden hamster) is the source of this 863-nucleotide long non-coding RNA. RefSeq lists it as uncharacterized. The record is from RefSeq and is a predicted model, not a curated record. Lineage: Eukaryota; Metazoa; Chordata; Mammalia; Rodentia; Cricetidae. The transcript is spliced from 3 exons.
CUGAUUAUAAACCCUGGAAGAGAAGUGACCUUCACAGUUUAAUAAGGGCAAACUAGCUGAGGGUUCCAGGCUGCUUUUAUCAGGGAGAUCCAAAUGCUGGGCACAGUGUUCCCAUCUCAGGACACAUUACUCCUGACGGUCAUGUCUCUUUAGCGUCCUCUUGGAGGUAAAGUUUCUCGGAGUUCCCUUGGUUUGGGUGACCUUGACCACUUCAAAGAGUACCAGUCAGACAUACUGUAGGCUGUGUUGGCGUUUAUCUGAUGUGUUCUCCCAGGACUAGAUGGGGUCAUGGGCUUUGAAGGAUGCUCACAGAGGUAAUGCGCCAGUUUCAUUCCAUCACGAAGUCUGCCAACAUGAUUUGUGACUCUCGGUGAUGAACCUGUUCGCCUGGCUGCGGUGGUACAGUUUAGACGGUGCUUUUGCAGAAUCGUUUCUCCUUCCCGCCCUUCUGCACUGUUCAGGAAUAAGUCACUAUGCACAGCCACAUGAAUCACCUGUACAUUUCCUCCAUUCAUUAAAAGAAUGAUAUGUGUGCUUCCUUCGGCAGCACAUAUACUAAAAUUGGAAUGAUACAGAGAAGAUUAGCAUGGCCCCUGCGCAUGGAUGACACGCAAAUUCGUGAAGCGUUCCAUUUUUUUUAAAAAAAGAAAAGAAUGAUAUGUACAUUUUUGUUAAUCUUCACUAUAUUGUGCUGAGUAGAUGCUCAACAGGCAAAGUCUGAUGACUCAAGUUCAAUUCCCAGGACCCACAUGGUAGAAGGAGAGAGUCAACUCCUGUAUAUUGUUAUCUGACCCCAUGCACAGGGCUGUGGCCACACACACACACACACACACACACACACACACACACACACACACACACAC